This 253-nucleotide ribosomal RNA is filed under the name uncultured bacterium. Its description in RNAcentral is "partial 16S ribosomal RNA". It matches the Rfam family "Archaeal small subunit ribosomal RNA", at positions 474 to 727 of the family's 1478-position model. The record is from RNAcentral.
UACCAGCACCCCGAGUGGUCGGGACGAUUAUUGGGCCUAAAGCAUCCGUAGCCGGUCCUGCAAGUCUUCCGUUAAAUCCAGCUGCUCAACAGAUGGGCUGCGGGGGAUACUACAGGGCUAGGAGGCGGGAGAGGCAAGCGGUACUUUAUGGGUAGGGGUAAAAUCCGUUGAUCCAUAGAAGACCACCAGUGGCGAAGGCGGCUUGCCAGAACGCGCUCGACGGUGAGGGAUGAAAGCUGAGGGAGCAAACCGG